UGAGGAAUAUUGGUCAAUGGGCGGGAGCCUGAACCAGCCAAGUAGCGUGCAGGAUGACGGCCCUAUGGGUUGUAAACUGCUUUUGUAUGGGGAUAAAGUCAAUCACGUGUGAUUGUUUGCAGGUACCAUACGAAUAAGGACCGGCUAAUUCCGCGCCAGCAGCCGCGGUAAUACGGAAGGUCCGGGCGUUAUCCGGAUUUAUUGGGUUUAAAGGGAGCGUAGGCCGGAGAUUAAGUGUGUUGUGAAAUGUAGACGCUCAACGUCUGACUUGCAGCGCAUACUGGUUUCCUUGAGUACGCACAACGUUGGCGGAAUUCGUCGUGUAGCGGUGAAAUGCUUAGAUAUGACGAAGAACUCCGAUUGCUAAGACAGCUGACGGGAGCGCAACUGACGCUUAAGCUCGAAGGUGCGGGUAUCAAACAGGAUUAGAUACCCUGGUAGUCCGCACAGUAAACGAUGGAUGCCCGCUGUUGGUACCUGGUAUCAGCGGCUAAGCGAAAGCAUUAAGCAUCCCACCUGGGGAGUACGCCGGCAACGGUG
This 540-nucleotide ribosomal RNA is filed under the name uncultured bacterium. RNAcentral describes it as "bacterial SSU rRNA". It matches the Rfam family "Bacterial small subunit ribosomal RNA", at positions 355 to 896 of the family's 1533-position model. The record is from RNAcentral.